GUCACAAGUUCCAUUCUGGGUGACGUCUGAGAUCCUGACUCAGGAUGUAAACUAGGAGGGUCCAGGUCAUGGUGACAGUAACCGAAGUCAAGAAGCAACAGUUAGAACGGGAUAUGGAAAAACAGACUGGUUCCGAAUCGGGAAAGGAGUACAUCAAGGCUGUAUAUUGUCACCCUGAUUAUUUAACUUAUAUGCAGAGUACAUCAUGAGAAAUGCUGGACUGAAUGAAGCACAAGCUGCAAUCAAGAUUGCUGGGAAAAAUAUCAAAACCCUCAGAUAUGCAGAUGACACCAUAACUUUUCUCUCAAGGAGUGGCAAGAUACAGCAAGGAACAGAUAGCCAUGAUGCCCACUCUCCAAGAACUUACAUUCUACUAAAGGAAGAUGAAAUCAGAUGUCACCAGGAGUACAUCAUGAGAAACGCUGGGCUGGAUGAAGCACAAACUGGAAUCAAGAUUGCUGGGAGAAAUAUCAGUAACCUCAGAUGUGUAGAUGACACCACCCUCAUGGC
Molecule: long non-coding RNA, 510 nt
Organism: Bos taurus (domestic cattle)
Lineage: Eukaryota; Metazoa; Chordata; Mammalia; Artiodactyla; Bovidae
Source: Ensembl